AACGAACGCUGGCGGCAUGCCUAACACAUGCAAGUCGAACGAGACCUUCGGGUCUAGUGGCGCACGGGUGCGUAACGCGUGGGAACCUGCCCUUAGGUUCGGAAUAACUCCCCGACAGGGGUGCUAAUACCGGAUAAUGUCUUCGGACCAAAGAUUUAUCGUCUUUGGAUGGGCCCGCGUUGGAUUAGCUAGUUGGUAGGGUAAAAGCCUACCAAGGCGACGAUCCAUAGCUGGUCUGAGAGGAUGAUCAGCCACACUGGGACUGAGACACGGCCCAGACUCCUACGGGAGGCAGCAGUGGGGAAUAUUGGACAAUGGGCGAAAGCCUGAUCCAGCAAUGCCGCGUGAGUGAUGAAGGCCUUAGGGUUGUAAAGCUCUUUUACCCGGGAUGAUACUGACAGUACCGGGAGAAUAAGCUCCGGCUAACUCCGUG
Molecule: ribosomal RNA, 433 nt
Filed under: uncultured bacterium
Lineage: Bacteria
Description: partial 16S ribosomal RNA
Rfam family: Bacterial small subunit ribosomal RNA
Source: RNAcentral